ACGCCGUCCUCCCCUGCGGCCCCCUCGCCUAACGCCGUCCUCCCCUGCGGCCCCCCAGCCCAACGCCGUCCUCCCCUGUGGCCCCCUAGCCUAACGCCGUCCUCCCCUGCGGCCCCCUACCCCAACGCUGUCCUCCCCUGCGGCCCCCCUAGCCCAACGCCGUCCUCCCCUGCGGCCCCCUAGCCCAACGCCGUCCUCCCCUGCGGCCCCCAAGCCUAACGCCGUCCUCCCCUGCGGCCCCCUCGCCUAACGCCGUCCUCCCCUGUGGCCCCCUAGCCUAACACCGUCCUCCCCUGCGGCCCCCUACCCCAACGCUGUCCUCCCCUGCGGCCCCCCUAGCCCAACGCCGUCCUCCCCUGCGGCCCCCUAGCCCAACGCCGUCCUCCCCUGCGGCCCCCAAGCCUAACGCCGUCCUCCCCUGCGGCCCCCUCGCCUAACGCCGUCCUCCCC
This 450-nucleotide long non-coding RNA is filed under the name Volvox carteri. Its description in RNAcentral is "long non-coding RNA (VCAR_LNC000661)". Lineage: Eukaryota; Viridiplantae; Chlorophyta; Chlorophyceae; Chlamydomonadales; Volvocaceae. The record is from RNAcentral.